GGUUGUCAUAGAACAAUAAAAAUAGUUAGGAAAAAAAUGAGAGAAUCUUACUUUAAAUGUCGUUUUUAUAGGUUUUUCCCGUCCAACCUUGCCAUAUGUUAGCUGCUAAAUACCAGGUUAAAUCCGUGCUUUCCUGGAAAAGCUUCUAAUCUGCUUCGUGAUCUUCUGAAAGGUCAUACUGAAACCCUAAACCCCUUGGGCCUCCAACAUUGUCCUUCAGUAUCCAGCCCGUACAGGUAGACCGGUCUUUGAGAGCACAGCCAAAGAGAAAACAGGAAAAGGGGCACAACUGCCCUUCCCAAAUCAGGCAAACAGAUCUUGUGUAGCUCUUUUUUCCUCUUUUCUUCAUCAUUUGCAUAAUUGCAGUACUCUUCUGAAUCACUUUGCCAGUGAAGACUUGGCUGCUAGCCCUGUAAAUUGCUUUCACAUAAAUCUGGAAGUCAAGAAGUAAGGCAUGUUGUGCCAAUUAGCCUAAAAUCCAACCUAAUUCACCAUUGGACCAGAAGAGGACUUUCUGAAGACACAUAAAAUCAGUGCCUUGUACUUUAGUAUCCCGUCCCUAAAGAAAAGUUUGGUUUACUGUCUUCUUUCCAGCUGAGAUAGAAAUGAAGGCUUAACAUUCUCAUUCAAGGUCACUGGCUGUGUUGUCCUCUUGCGGUAGUUGCAAAAUACACUGGGGUGAGGGCAGGUGGUGAAAGAUGAGGAGAACAAAGCUUCAUUACUGUUACCCAUCAGCCCCUGCCCACCAACUGGAGGUCAGGAGAGUACAGAGAGGCAAAAGUCACCUCCACCAGGAAAAGGUUGGAGGUGGUGGAGAGAGGUUCAGCAUGACAGAGUGUGCGCAUGUAUUGGCUGAGGAACACGCACUUUGUUGUAUGUUAGUGAUUGCUCAAUUUGUUUACACGGUAACUCAUUUCUGCUACUGCUCUUUGUUCUUCAGAGAAGAUAGACAACCCAGCAGAGCAGAUCUUUGUUCCUUAUGAGCUCAUCUGCUCCUGCAGCUUGUGCCACACCUGUAAUUAUAAUUAUGGCCCACUGCUUGGGUUGCUGUAAUCCUUUCUAGUGAAACCAAUUGUGAUUUCACCAACAGAGUUACUUAGCAAAGUGAGAAUGCCUGAAUUGAUAGAAUAAGCAUCAUUAGUCCCUUUUAUUGGUUAAUUUGGCUGCACUUAGCCUUCUAUUAAGAUUCAGAUGAUUAACAUUUUUCGGUAAUAUGGAAGCAUCCGUGCACUUUCGAUGGAACUGUGAAGUUAAUAGACUGUAACUGGGCCACUCUGGACAAGCGUAAUAAGCUGAUACCAAGAGAUAAAAGAAGUGGUGCAGCUGCACCUCAGCUAUUACGUUAAUGAAGGAGAGAGAAUCCAUGUGGAAUCGCUGGAAGGAAACUGCUAAGAGAUGGUGUGGGUAAAUCAUCACAUGCUGACUAUUUUGGCCACAUCUUUCUUAUGAGCCCUUAAGAACACAACAUGGUGCCCUUUCCUGGUUCCUGACUUCCCGCACCUUUCUUGCUCUAUCAGACCCCUGCUCCUGCUCACCACUCUCUGGAUCUGUGUUCUUACUAUUCUUCCAUGCAGCUCUCCAAGUCCCGUCUCUUUCUUUCUCAUGUUGUACCUUCCAUUUUCCUCCCAAUCCACUGUUAGCACCCCCUUCUAAGUAGCAAUACCUAUAAAAUUUUUUGGAAAAUUUUGUGUUUUGCAUACAGCGAACAGACUUGGUCAACUAAACUGUUAUUGGCAUGGUGCCCUGGGUUUGACGCAGAGCCAGAGGAGCCAGAAGGGUUAACUCAGCUCUCUGUGCAGUAGGGGGCUUUCAGGGGGACCGUUGAGAACAAAAAUAUGAACUUAAAGGUGAGAUUAUCGAAGUCUCUGAAAUAAUGAGGGAUGAGAACAGAUGGGAAUCAUUUGUUCAUCCUAUCAUGGAAUUUGAGAAUCAAUGAGUCUUCCUUGGUGCCUGAAGGGGAUAGGCUUAAUAUAACUAGAAGAGGCAUAACAUUGUAAACUUAUGCAACAAAUUUCCCUGCAGGGUUUUACAGACUGGAAAUGAAAAUCAUUUAAGAAGGGAUUGGAUAUGCUAUGACUGGUAGAUCAUAUUAAAUUAACCCUCUUUGACCAACCUCCAUGCUGUUCUCAGGGUCAAAUUAUAAAUUACCUUUUCUUCAGAGCCAUAUUAUCAGCUCUGGGAAUGUAGGGAGCCCUGAAUUUUUCAUUUCAUGCAUCGCUCCAGAAAUGUAAAAUAUUGUGAGUGAAGAGUUAUAGAGUGAAAACGUGACUCCAGAAAGAAUAGUGAAAGGAUGGAGCCUAAAGGCUGAGGAGUGUAAUCUGAAUUGUUGUCAUCAUUACUCUGUAGAAGUCAUUUGACCUGUCUCAUCAUGCCAAAAUGCUUCACGCUUCACUUUCUACCUCUGAAAGUCAUGACUGAUGGGUUGUUUGGCCACAUUCUCUCAAGAAAAGUCUUCAUUCUGUAAUGUAGGGGUGACGGCAAAAUGACAGUGUGCAACAAUGUAGCAAGUCCAAGGCAUGACCCCUAAUCUGCCAGCAGUCAUAGGUGACAGCAAUUUCAUAGCUGACAUGCCCACGGGUAAAUACAUCUUCACAUGUGCUCUGUGGUGAAUUUUUUCUUUUAUAGACACAUGCAUUCAAACACCCCAGGCUAGAGAAGGAACUCGCAGUGCCUUUUAUUUUUGAAUCAUCACGUUUAAAAACAACGCUUUUUAUGUAUAGGCUUAAAGAAAAACACUAGAGUCAGUAUUUAGGAAGUUAGGUGAGGUCCUGAUCUUUUGCUUCUAUUUCCUUCCCCAUACCUAGUUACAAUAGACAAAUAUGUUCAGGCAUACACAAAAAAGAAGAGUUAGGAAUUUAGGGGGUUACUAAAAUUGAUUGCUCUUUUAAAUGACACAUAUGAUUAUUAGACCUCAGAAAUUUCUGUUUAUUAAUUGUAAUUUCCCCCUUUGAAAGUAUCAAAUUUGACAUAUAUUUUCUUAACCACAAAGGUCUUAUUUGAGUUUCUGGCUUUUUCCCCAGAAUAAGUUAACUAUAGUUUUGUGGAUUUUGGGGGAUGGGGUGGAGGUUGAUUUGAAAGUACAGAACAAACAGACCAUCAGAAAUAUUUAAAGCUCCUUUACAAACCCUAGAUAAAAUGGACAUGGUAAGGAAUUUGAAGCUUUAUUGAAUUUAUUUAGUGGCUUUUCUACAUAGAGCUUGGAUACAGUUGUGACUAUGUUUAUUUGAAAGAAGCAAAAUUGUGAGUUAAGUAGAUACUUCUUAUCUUGUAGGAGUCAUAAAGUUAGAGGUGAUUCCUUUUUUCCUUAUUUGUAUUUAAGUGAGACUACUAUAAAAUCCCUUUGUAUAAAGAUUCAAAUGAAAUUGCAAAAUGUAACAAGAGAAAACGAGAUUUAUAACUUGUACCCAGGAAAAAAGGAUUGUCCCUCUUUCUCAGGAAAAAGCAACCCUUUUCAAUGAAACAUGAGCCAGGCUGUGGUCAACAGAUGAGCACUGUGUCUAGCAAGGAAGCAAAAAGCAAGAUAACGGGCUUUGGAGAGCAAAACUGCAUUUUUGCCUCCACACAUUUUCCUGCCUCAGAAGCCUAUACAAAACUGUAAAUCCAUCCCAAAGAUAUAUUAAGGCUUCAGAGAGUUCUAGCAAUCCACUUUAUAGACUUAUAAAUUGAACUCAACAUUUAAAUUCAGGAUCAUGGUAUACAGCACACCUCUGUGUCUGGAUGGCAAGUUUGAUCAAUACAUUUGAGUAAAAGGAGAGAGAGAGGGAAAGACAGUUGUCCUAAGGAUAGCUAUAAUUUUGGUAGAUGUUGAUCAGAGCCUAAAUUCUAAAUUAAAACAUUUACUUUCCAAAUGCCUUGGGUAAUGGAGCCAACAAAAAGCCUCCUCAGAAAAAUGAUAAGGUUCAUCAUUUGCAUAAUUACUCAACAUCCAGCAUCCUAAGGCCCUCAUAAGAUUUCACCUUAAAGUUGGUGGGACAUGGAAGCCGUUUCGGCAACAAUACAAAGAAGCCAAAGUCAGCAUCUUGUCUGAGGUCUCACAAGCCAAUCUAGGGAUUGUGCUGUUUCUCUUCGGAUUCUUUUCCCCAGAUUGUUAGAGUGUUGAGUUCAGUUGCUUUCUAGAUUGCCUUCCCAGGACCUGUGUGCUCACCUGCUUCCUGAUCUGGCCACAUCUGGGGUUCCAGUCUGUGAGUGCCACACUUCUUCCUGCUUCAAGAUUGUGUUUUUGGUGUUAGUGCUACCCUGAGGAGAAGUGGAUCAAGUUUCCAAGCAGUGGAAGAACUGAAUCUUACCUGUUCUGUUACAUGUAUUCUUCCCUGGUUUCCAAGAUGACGCUUGUGAUUCCAAUAAAUUACACGCAAAAUUAAAACCAAGCCAAACCAAAUUCAAAACCAAAACCAAUGGAUUGAUAUGUGCUCAUUAUUAGUAAGUUUGUAG
Molecule: long non-coding RNA, 4431 nt
Organism: Equus caballus (horse)
Lineage: Eukaryota; Metazoa; Chordata; Mammalia; Perissodactyla; Equidae
Source: Ensembl